Molecule: ribosomal RNA, 483 nt
Filed under: Sus scrofa (pig)
Lineage: Eukaryota; Metazoa; Chordata; Mammalia; Artiodactyla; Suidae
Description: partial 16S ribosomal RNA
Rfam family: Bacterial large subunit ribosomal RNA
Source: RNAcentral
GACCGUGCAAAGGUAGCAUAAUCACUUGUUCUCCAAAUAAGGACUUGUAUGAAUGGCCACACGAGGGUUUUACUGUCUCUUACUUCCAAUCAGUGAAAUUGACCUUCCCGUGAAGAGGCGGGAAUAAAAAAAUAAGACGAGAAGACCCUAUGGAGCUUUAAUUAACUAUUCCAAAAGUUAAACAAUUCAACCACAAAGGGAUAAAACAUAACUUAACAUGGACUAGCAAUUUCGGUUGGGGUGACCUCGGAGUACAAAAAACCCUCCGAGUGAUUUUAAUCUAGACAAACCAGUCAAAAUAACCAUAACAUCACUUAUUGAUCCAAAACUUUGAUCAACGGAACAAGUUACCCUAGGGAUAACAGCGCAAUCCUAUUCUAGAGUUCCUAUCGACAAUAGGGUUUACGACCUCGAUGUUGGAUCAGGACACCCAAAUGGUGCAACCGCUAUUAAAGGUUCGUUUGUUCAACGAUUAAAGUCCUA